RNAcentral lists this transfer RNA (93 nucleotides) under Planctomycetota bacterium. Its description in RNAcentral is "tRNA-Sec". It matches the Rfam family "Selenocysteine transfer RNA". Lineage: Bacteria; Pseudomonadati; Planctomycetota. The record is from RNAcentral.
GGGAGCAGAAAGGUGCCUGGUGGUCCUCCCGGUCUUCAAAACCGUGGUGACUCGCAAGGGUCAGGUGGGUUCGAUUCCCAUGUGCUCCCGCCA